Molecule: ribosomal RNA, 2349 nt
Filed under: Escherichia coli
Lineage: Bacteria; Pseudomonadati; Pseudomonadota; Gammaproteobacteria; Enterobacterales; Enterobacteriaceae
Description: partial 23S ribosomal RNA
Rfam family: Bacterial large subunit ribosomal RNA
Source: RNAcentral
UGUAUAAUGGGUCAGCGACUUAUAUUCUGUAGCAAGGUUAACCGAAUAGGGGAGCCGAAGGGAAACCGAGUCUUAACUGGGCGUUAAGUUGCAGGGUAUAGACCCGAAACCCGGUGAUCUAGCCAUGGGCAGGUUGAAGGUUGGGUAACACUAACUGGAGGACCGAACCGACUAAUGUUGAAAAAUUAGCGGAUGACUUGUGGCUGGGGGUGAAAGGCCAAUCAAACCGGGAGAUAGCUGGUUCUCCCCGAAAGCUAUUUAGGUAGCGCCUCGUGAAUUCAUCUCCGGGGGUAGAGCACUGUUUCGGCAAGGGGGUCAUCCCGACUUACCAACCCGAUGCAAACUGCGAAUACCGGAGAAUGUUAUCACGGGAGACACACGGCGGGUGCUAACGUCCGUCGUGAAGAGGGAAACAACCCAGACCGCCAGCUAAGGUCCCAAAGUCAUGGUUAAGUGGGAAACGAUGUGGGAAGGCCCAGACAGCCAGGAUGUUGGCUUAGAAGCAGCCAUCAUUUAAAGAAAGCGUAAUAGCUCACUGGUCGAGUCGGCCUGCGCGGAAGAUGUAACGGGGCUAAACCAUGCACCGAAGCUGCGGCAGCGACACUAUGUGUUGUUGGGUAGGGGAGCGUUCUGUAAGCCGUUGAAGGUGUGCUGUGAGGCAUGCUGGAGGUAUCAGAAGUGCGAAUGCUGACAUAAGUAACGAUAAAGCGGGUGAAAAGCCCGCUCGCCGGAAGACCAAGGGUUCCUGUCCAACGUUAAUCGGGGCAGGGUGAGUCGACCCCUAAGGCGAGGCCGAAAGGCGUAGUCGAUGGGAAACAGGUUAAUAUUCCUGUACUUGGUGUUACUGCGAAGGGGGGACGGAGAAGGCUAUGUUGGCCGGGCGACGGUUGUCCCGGUUUAAGCGUGUAGGCUGAUUUUCCAGGCAAAUCCGGAGAAUCAAGGCUGAGGCGUGAUGACGAGGCACUACGGUGCUGAAGCAACAAAUGCCCUGCUUCCAGGAAAAGCCUCUAAGCAUCAGGUAACAUCAAAUCGUACCCCAAACCGACACAGGUGGUCAGGUAGAGAAUACCAAGGCGCUUGAGAGAACUCGGGUGAAGGAACUAGGCAAAAUGGUGCCGUAACUUCGGGAGAAGGCACGCUGAUAUGUAGGUGAAGCGACUUGCUCGUGGAGCUGAAAUCAGUCGAAGAUACCAGCUGGCUGCAACUGUUUAUUAAAAACACAGCACUGUGCAAACACGAAAGUGGACGUAUACGGUGUGACGCCUGCCCGGUGCCGGAAGGUUAAUUGAUGGGGUCAGCCGCAAGGCGAAGCUCUUGAUCGAAGCCCCGGUAAACGGCGGCCGUAACUAUAACGGUCCUAAGGUAGCGAAAUUCCUUGUCGGGUAAGUUCCGACCUGCACGAAUGGCGUAAUGAUGGCCAGGCUGUCUCCACCCGAGACUCAGUGAAAUUGAACUCGCUGUGAAGAUGCAGUGUACCCGCGGCAAGACGGAAAGACCCCGUGAACCUUUACUAUAGCUUGACACUGAACAUUGAGCCUUGAUGUGUAGGAUAGGUGGGAGGCUUUGAAGUGUGGACGCCAGUCUGCAUGGAGCCGACCUUGAAAUACCACCCUUUAAUGUUUGAUGUUCUAACGUGGACCCGUGAUCCGGGUUGCGGACAGUGUCUGGUGGGUAGUUUGACUGGGGCGGUCUCCUCCUAAAGAGUAACGGAGGAGCACGAAGGUUGGCUAAUCCUGGUCGGACAUCAGGAGGUUAGUGCAAUGGCAUAAGCCAGCUUGACUGCGAGCGUGACGGCGCGAGCAGGUGCGAAAGCAGGUCAUAGUGAUCCGGUGGUUCUGAAUGGAAGGGCCAUCGCUCAACGGAUAAAAGGUACUCCGGGGAUAACAGGCUGAUACCGCCCAAGAGUUCAUAUCGACGGCGGUGUUUGGCACCUCGAUGUCGGCUCAUCACAUCCUGGGGCUGAAGUAGGUCCCAAGGGUAUGGCUGUUCGCCAUUUAAAGUGGUACGCGAGCUGGGUUUAGAACGUCGUGAGACAGUUCGGUCCCUAUCUGCCGUGGGCGCUGGAGAACUGAGGGGGGCUGCUCCUAGUACGAGAGGACCGGAGUGGACGCAUCACUGGUGUUCGGGUUGUCAUGCCAAUGGCACUGCCCGGUAGCUAAAUGCGGAAGAGAUAAGUGCUGAAAGCAUCUAAGCACGAAACUUGCCCCGAGAUGAGUUCUCCCUGAGACUUUAAGUCUCCUGAAGGAACGUUGAAGACGACGACGUUGAUAGGCCGGGUGUGUAAGCGCAGCGAUGCGUUGAGCUAACCGGUACUAAUGAACCGUGAGGCUUAACCUUACAACGCCGAAG